GCUUGGCCCUAAAUCUAGAUGUUUCUUCCACCAAAACAUCCGCCCGAGAACUACGAGCGCAAACGCUUAAAACUCUAAGGACUUGGCGGUGCCCUAAACCCACCUAGAGGAGCCUGUUCUGUAAUCGAUAAUCCACGUUACACCCGACCUCUCCUUGCUAAAACAGCCUACAUACCGCCGUCGUCAGCCCACCUUUACUGAAAGAACAAUAGUGGGCUUAACAGCCCCACCCGCUAGCAAGACAGGUCGAGGUAUAGCCCAUGGAGAGGAAGUAAUGGGCUACAUUUUCUAAAAUAGAAUACUUUACGGAAAGGGGCUGUGAAACCACCCCUGGAAGGCGGAUUUAGCUGUAAAGUGGAACAAUGUAAGUCCACUUUUAAGUUGGCCCUGGGGCACGUACAUACCGCCCG
RNAcentral lists this ribosomal RNA (410 nucleotides) under Irediparra gallinacea (comb-crested jacana). Its description in RNAcentral is "partial 12S small subunit ribosomal RNA". It matches the Rfam family "Bacterial small subunit ribosomal RNA", at positions 794 to 1396 of the family's 1533-position model. The record is from RNAcentral. Lineage: Eukaryota; Metazoa; Chordata; Aves; Charadriiformes; Jacanidae.